This 565-nucleotide ribosomal RNA is filed under the name uncultured bacterium. Its description in RNAcentral is "bacterial SSU rRNA". It matches the Rfam family "Bacterial small subunit ribosomal RNA", at positions 377 to 935 of the family's 1533-position model. The record is from RNAcentral.
GAGAGCCUGAUCCAGCCAUACCGCGUGUGUGAAGAAGGCCCUAGGGUUGUAAAGCACUUUAAGUUGGGAAGAAAAGUUAUUGGUUAAUACCCAAUGACCGUGACAUUACCAUCAGAAUAAGGACCGGCUAAUUCCGUGCCAGCAGCCGCGGUAAUACGGAAGGUCCAAGCGUUAAUCGGAAUUACUGGGCGUAAAGCGCGCGUAGGUGGUUUAUUAAGUUGGGUGUGAAAUCCCCGGGCUCAACCUGGGAACUGCAUCCAAAACUGAUUCACUAGAGUACGAUAGAGGGAGGUAGAAUUCACAGUGUAGCGGUGGAAUGCGUAGAUAUUGUGAAGAAUACCAAUGGCGAAUGCAGCCUCCUGGAUCUGUACUGACACUGAGGUGCGAAAGCGUGGGUAGCGAACAGGAUUAGAUACCCCGGUAGUCCCGCCCUAAACCAUGUCUACUAUCUGUUGGAAGCAUUGUUUUUAUGGGCACUGCUAACGAAUUAAGUUGGCCGCCCGGCCGAGUAUAACUAUAAUGUGGAAACUCAAAUGAAUUGGUUAAUCACCCGCGAAACUACCUU